This 305-nucleotide unclassified non-coding RNA is filed under the name plant metagenome. RNAcentral's name for it is "partial contains 5.8S ribosomal RNA, internal transcribed spacer 2, and large subunit ribosomal RNA". The stretch from base 1 to 105 matches the Rfam family "5.8S ribosomal RNA", at positions 50 to 154 of the family's 154-position model. The record is from RNAcentral.
GAAAUGCGAUAAGUAAUGUGAAUUGCAGAAUUCAGUGAAUCAUCGAAUCUUUGAACGCACAUUGCGCCCGCCAGUAUUCUGGCGGGCAUGCCUGUUCGAGCGUCAUUUCAACCAUCAAGCCCCCGGCUUGUGUUGGGGACCUGCGGCUGCCCGCAGGCCCUGAAACACAGUGGCGGGCUCGCUGUCACACCGAGCGUAGUAGCAUACAUUCUCGCUCAGGGCGUGCUGCGGGUUCCGGCCGUUAAACGACCUUCAUAACCCAAGGUUGACCUCGGAUCAGGUAGGAAGACCCGCUGAACUUAAGC